CCACACCGUACCAACAAUUUUAUAUUUUAGGGAAAACUACAAUGUAGCUGUAUAGUUUUGAAAAAUGGAAAGCAUUUUCCUUUUUAAAUCUGAAGCUAUCUAAUCUGGAAAAAUAUUCAAAACUUUAGAGCUACUACUUUGGUCCAGUCUGUGAUGCCUCACCCCGUGUAAAGCGAGGCGCCGUCACACCGCCUUGUAGGACAUCCUUUACAGAAAGACGACGUCCAGAGAUGUCUGUCCUCCCCAACCUGAGACCAACUCUGACACCUUCCCACCCUCCUCCUCCUCAUAAAUCUGCCUACAAAAGCUGAAAGUAAAAAGUAACCGGUUCAUCUUUCUUAACCAUCCUCACCUAUACAAACUGCAUUAAUAAUUUUAUCAAUUUCCAUGA
RNAcentral lists this long non-coding RNA (391 nucleotides) under Bos taurus (domestic cattle). RNAcentral's name for it is "long non-coding RNA NONBTAT001600". The record is from RNAcentral. Lineage: Eukaryota; Metazoa; Chordata; Mammalia; Artiodactyla; Bovidae.